RNAcentral lists this transfer RNA (68 nucleotides) under Dagualachesilloides caliensis. RNAcentral's name for it is "tRNA-Ser". Lineage: Eukaryota; Metazoa; Arthropoda; Insecta; Psocodea; Sphaeropsocidae. The record is from RNAcentral.
AAUUGAUUAGUCUAAAAAAGACUUUUGUUUUGAAUACAAAAAAUGAAUAUUAAAUAAGUCAUCAAUUU